UACGUAGGGGGCAAGCGUUGUCCGGAUUUAUUGGGCGUAAAGAGCGUGUAGGCGGUCAGGUAGGUCCGUUGUGAAAACUCGAGGCUCAACCUCGAGACGCCGAUGGAAACCAUCUGACUAGCGUCCGGAAGAGGAGAGUGGAAUUCCUGGUGUAGCGGUGAAAUGCGCAGAUAUCAGGAAGAACACCCGUGGCUAAGGCGGCUCUCUAGUACGGUACUGACGCUGAGACGCGAAAGCGUGGGGAGCGAACAGG
Molecule: ribosomal RNA, 253 nt
Filed under: uncultured bacterium
Lineage: Bacteria
Description: partial 16S ribosomal RNA
Rfam family: Bacterial small subunit ribosomal RNA
Source: RNAcentral